CAAAGAAUAGUUUAAGUGAAGAAUGUUAGCUUUGGGAGUUGAUGGUAGGGGUUAAAAUCCCCUUUCUUUGA
Molecule: transfer RNA, 71 nt
Filed under: Calamus penna (sheepshead porgy)
Lineage: Eukaryota; Metazoa; Chordata; Actinopteri; Spariformes; Sparidae
Description: tRNA-Pro
Rfam family: tRNA
About the family: Transfer RNA (tRNA) molecules are approximately 80 nucleotides in length. Their secondary structure includes four short double-helical elements and three loops (D, anti-codon, and T loops).
Source: RNAcentral